RNAcentral lists this ribosomal RNA (574 nucleotides) under Zygosporium masonii. Its description in RNAcentral is "partial large subunit ribosomal RNA". It matches the Rfam family "Eukaryotic large subunit ribosomal RNA", at positions 53 to 652 of the family's 3401-position model. The record is from RNAcentral. Lineage: Eukaryota; Fungi; Ascomycota; Sordariomycetes; Xylariales; Zygosporiaceae.
GAGGAAAAGAAACCAACAGGGAUUGCCCUAGUAACGGCGAGUGAAGCGGCAACAGCUCAAAUUUGAAAGCUGGCCUUCGGGUCCGCAUUGUAAUUUGUAGAGGAUGCUUUUGGUGCGGUACCUUCCGAGUUCCUUGGAACAGGACGCCUUAGAGGGUGAGAGCCCCGUACGGUUGGAUGCCUAGCCUCUGUAAAGCUCCUUCGACGAGUCGAGUAGUUUGGGAAUGCUGCUCUAAAUGGGAGGUAAAUUUCUUCUAAAGCUAAAUAUUGGCCAGAGACCGAUAGCGCACAAGUAGAGUGAUCGAAAGAUGAAAAGCACUUUGAAAAGAGGGUUAAAUAGCACGUGAAAUUGUUGAAAGGGAAGGAUUUAUGACCAGACUUUUGUCUGGCGGAUCAUCCAGUGUUCUCACUGGUGCACUUCGCCAGGCCGAGGCCAGCAUCGGUUUCGGAAGGGGGAUAAAGGCUUCGGGAAUGUGACCCUCUCGGGGGUGUUAUAGCCCGUUGCGAAAUACCCUUUCUGGGACCGAGGUCCGCGCUCUGCAAGGAUGCUGGCAUAAUGGUCAUCAAUCACCCGU